UACACACACAUCCCCCUCUUUAUGCACAUGCUUCUAUUAUUAAUACCCCUUGCUUACAAUGCAGCAUACACCCCUUCCCCUUCUUCUUCUUUUUUAGGAAAAAUUAUUUAUAGGUCCCCGAAUGGAUCCGAAAUUACUUUUAAGUCCUUUGACCUUUCAAGUUGAAUAAAAAGUUUUUGAAAUGCUAAGAAGUUAUUUCUAGGUCUCUGCCAUCCACACAGAUUGGUUACACAGGUUUAUAUUCAUGUUACACAGAUUUAUGUUCAGAUUACACAGGUUACUUAGUUUCAAUAUCUGUUUAUGCACGUUUAUGCACAUUCAUACAGGUAUGUACCUUGGUUAGAGGCUUUUUAUUCAACUUAAAAAGUCAAGGGACUUAAAAAUAAUUUCGGAUCCAUCUAGGGACCUAUAAAUAUUUUUUUUUCUUUUUUUCAUGCACAUGCUUCUAUUAUUAAUACCUCUUGCUUAUUGCUUACUAUGUCCAUGGUACACUGCACACACCUGUUUUUAUCCUAUGCUUAAUGAACAUUUUGAAUUAGAAAAAUGGGAAAAAUGUUAUAGAAUGUAUUGUACAUGUAGAAGUACUAAUACCCUUUAUAUAAGGGUAUUUUAAUUAUCAUUAUCUUAUGAUAAUAAUAUUUAGUAGACACUUCAAUAGAAUACACACACACACAUA
This 676-nucleotide long non-coding RNA is filed under the name Elaeis guineensis (African oil palm). Its description in RNAcentral is "long non-coding RNA (EGUI_LNC020014)". Lineage: Eukaryota; Viridiplantae; Streptophyta; Magnoliopsida; Arecales; Arecaceae. The record is from RNAcentral.